GUGGGGAAUUUUUCGCAAUGGGGGAAACCCUGACGAAGCAACGCCGCGUGGAGGAUGAAGGUCUUCGGAUCGUAAACUCCUGUCGACCGGGACGAAAGCAGUCUGGGCGAAUACCCCGGGCUGUUGACUGUACCGGUGGAGGAAGCCACGGCUAACUCUGUGCCAGCAGCCGCGGUAAUACAGAGGUGGCAAGCGUUGUUCGGAAUUACUGGGCGUAAAGGGCGCGUAGGCGGUCGGGUCAGUCUCGUGUGAAAUCCCUCAGCUCAACUGAGGAACUGCACGGGAAACUGCCUGGCUUGAGUUCGGGAGAGGGAAGCGGAAUUCCGGGUGUAGCGGUGAAAUGCGUAGAUAUCCGGAGGAACACCGGUGGCGAAGGCGGCUUCCUGGACCGAUACUGACGCUGAGGCGCGAAAGCUAGGGGAGCAAACGGGAUUAGAAACCCCAGUAGUCC
RNAcentral lists this ribosomal RNA (451 nucleotides) under uncultured bacterium. RNAcentral describes it as "bacterial SSU rRNA". It matches the Rfam family "Bacterial small subunit ribosomal RNA", at positions 354 to 796 of the family's 1533-position model. The record is from RNAcentral.